Long non-coding RNA from Bos taurus (domestic cattle), 576 nucleotides. The record is from Ensembl. Lineage: Eukaryota; Metazoa; Chordata; Mammalia; Artiodactyla; Bovidae.
GUUCUGAUUAAGUUUUUUCAUAGUAUUUUCUCAUAAAGUACAAAAGAUUUUCUCAUAAUCAUGUAAGAGCACAGAAAAUCUAAAAGAAGAAUAACACAAAAAGUGCCUUUCUCACAUAAAAGAAGUUUGCAAGAGUCAAUAAUAGGGCUGGUGAAGUAGUUUUAAGAAAUCAUCAGAACCAGCGUUCCUUUUAUUUCAUUGCUCUUCCUUGCUUGGAAUUCUGCCUGGGAUGUAAGAUAGUUGAUCAAGCUUCCGCCAUCACAUCUGUUCAGUUCAGUCGCUCAGUCGUGUCCGACUCUUUGCGACCCCAUGAAUCGCAGCACGCCAGGCCUCCCUGUCCAUCACCAACUCCCGGAGUUCACUCAGACUCAGGUCCAUCGAGUUGGUGAUGCCAUCCAGCCAUCUCAUCCUCUGUCGUCCCCUUCUCCUGCCCCCAAUCACAUCAAAGAAGCAAAGUGAGGCAGAUAUCAGGGGUUGGGUAUGUAGGCCCAGAGAGGUUUCAUGACUUGCUUUUGGUCUUAGAGCCAAAUCAAUGACCUCAUUCUGCAGUUGAGGAAACAGGUCCAGGGGAGGGCC